UGCCAGCCGCCGCGGUAAUACGGAGGGUGCGAGCGUUGUCCGGAAUUACUGGGCGUAAAGCGCGGGCAGGCGGCCUGUUGUGUCGAGUGUGAAAUCCCACGGCUCAACCGUGGAACUGCGCUCGAAACUGGCAGGCUUGAGUGCGGGAGGGGAUGGUGGAAUUCCCGGUGUAGAGGUGAAAUUCGUAGAUAUCGGGAAGAAUACCGGUGGCGAAGGCGACCAUCUGGCCCGUAACUGACGCUCAUCCGCGAAAGCGUGGGGAGCAAACAGGAUUAGAUA
This 279-nucleotide ribosomal RNA is filed under the name uncultured bacterium. Its description in RNAcentral is "partial 16S ribosomal RNA". It matches the Rfam family "Bacterial small subunit ribosomal RNA", at positions 506 to 784 of the family's 1533-position model. The record is from RNAcentral.